RNAcentral lists this long non-coding RNA (273 nucleotides) under Elaeis guineensis (African oil palm). RNAcentral describes it as "long non-coding RNA (EGUI_LNC045128)". Lineage: Eukaryota; Viridiplantae; Streptophyta; Magnoliopsida; Arecales; Arecaceae. The record is from RNAcentral.
UCAAAUAAUUUUUAUUAAUAAAAAUUUAUAUACAUUUACAAUAAUAAGCUCAACAUCAACACAGAUUGACGAUUGACUUUGAAACAUAAUUCCCAACACAAAAUAAUUUCACACCCACUAGAGAUUUAAAAUAAAAAUAAUUCAUAUUUCUUCUUUAUUUGGUAGGUAUACUCAAAUCACAGGAGACAUUCGAAACCUCGAGACUUCAAAACUGUAGUCGACCAACCCCCACCUAAAACCCUAAUCCCACACCUUCCUCUUGUUGAUGCCAUC